GACGAACGCUGGCGGCGUGCCUAAUACAUGCAAGUUGAGCGCUGAGGCUUGGUACUUGUACCAACUGGGUGAGCAGCGCACGGGUGAGUAACGCGUGGAGAAUCUGCCUUUGAGCGGGGGACAACAUUUGGAAACGAAUGCUAAUACCGCAUAAAAACUUUAAACACAAGGUUCAAGUGUGAAAGACGCAAUUGCAUCACUCAAUGAUGAUCCCGCGUUUUAUUAGUUAGUUGGUGAGGUAAAGGCUCACCAAGGCGAUGAUACAUAGCCGACCGGAGAGGAUGAUCGGCCGCAUUGGGACGGUGACACGGCCCAAACGCCUACGGGAGGCAGCAGGAGGGAAUCGUCGGAAAGAGACGAAAGUCUUACCGAGCAGCGCCGCGGGAGUGAAGAAGGGUGUCGGAUCGUAAAACUCGGUUGGUAGAGAAGAACGUUGGUGAGAGUGGAAAGCUCAUCAAGUGACGGUAACUACUCAGAAAGGGACGGCUAACUACGUG
This 497-nucleotide ribosomal RNA is filed under the name uncultured bacterium. RNAcentral describes it as "partial 16S ribosomal RNA". It matches the Rfam family "Bacterial small subunit ribosomal RNA", at positions 28 to 507 of the family's 1533-position model. The record is from RNAcentral.